Molecule: long non-coding RNA, 6927 nt
Organism: Passer domesticus (house sparrow)
Lineage: Eukaryota; Metazoa; Chordata; Aves; Passeriformes; Passeridae
Exons: 3
Source: RefSeq, a predicted model, not a curated record
CACCCCCUCCCCGUCGCCCCCGCGCGCCCAGGUGGCGUUGGCGGGAGCGGCGCGCGCGACGUGAAGGGGGGGGGGGUGGCUCGCGCCGCCGCCUGAGGGCGAGGAGCGGCGGGAGCCGCAGGAGGGUCCGAGGGCACCGCCUUAGAGCCGCGCUAGAGCGCGGCAGGCGCCGGCCCCCGCCACCGGCGACAGGGUCGGUGUUCGGCCACCGCGGUGCGGGGCCCGCGGGGCGGCUGCUGAGUGAGCGACACGUCGGCGUGCGCAGCGCAGCGCUGCGGGGCGGCGGCGCUGCCCGCUCGGGUGGCGCCGGGCCGCUCCGUGCGGCGGAGGCGGCUCGGGGGGCUGCCUGGGGCUGGAGGUGGUGCGUGUAGCUGGGCUCAGGAGGAAGACGCCUGCCGAGAAAUCAAAGCCCUGGAAGCGAAUGAAGCCCUUGUACACCUCUCGCUUCAGCGUGUUCCGAAGCAGCGCGGACCAUCCAUCUCAUGGGGGGACAGGGAAGAGCCGCUCUGUGGGUGUGUGACAGGGCCCCGGCAGUGUAAGCCCGGCUCAGCGGCUCUCCCUGCGGCUGGAAUGUGGUGCAGGGCGUGCUUCGGGCUUGAGAAACGCUGUUACUCCACGUAACUCCGCGGUGCUGAAGCAUCCCUGCCCAAUACCAGCUUUGGGAGUAAUUCACGAUCAUGUAGCUAGCUUGGAAAACUCAAAUGUUUUCGCAAAGGACAGGGGACUAAACCCAGUGGGAAACAACAUUAAGGAUACCUGGCAUUUUCAUGAAGGCCCGAGUUUUCAACACCCUUUGUAAUGAUUAGGUGUUUAAUCUUCUGCCCUCUGAGCAGUUCAGUAAUGACUACCUCUGUGAGGAAACAGGAUAAAGUUCUUGCUAGUUAAAGACCUGCAAUUAAAAUACUUAUCACUAUUCUCCUUAACCUUGCUGGCUCUAUUUAUUACAUGUCUAAGUAAACACUAUUAAGAAAGUCCUUUAUCUGAACAAGUCACAGCUUGAUUGUGGUUAACAACAGUUUUUAUUACAGAAUUAUAACAUGUUUAAAUUGUCUGGGCACAGCUGUGGUGCACAUGAGAAAAAGACAGUCACAGUCUUAUCUCUGUAUUUCCUUCCCUCUUGAGUUUAAUACAGAUUUUUCCAGGUCAUCUUAAUGUGUUCUCUUAACUUCCUUUGUAUUUCAGUGAUGGGUUCACAGAACAGAAACAAGCGGUGAGAGGUGUGAAGUACUUUUACCCAUCUUUCUAGAAAGAUCUUGCCUCUGAAGUCACACAGAAUGGCUUGAUCAUUCUACGUGUUUCUUUGAAAACCUGUGGUUUCCCACUGCAUGGAUGUGGUGGUGUGUUACAUCCUGGCAGGAAUACUUUAAAAAAUCAGCGUGGCAACUCCAGCCGUUCCUUCUAAUCUUCAUUUUUUUCUGUUCUGGAUGCCUUCUUAAGAGAUUAUACUGCUACCUGGGCUUGGCUGGGACACCUUGGCUUAGUCCUGUGAGCCGUGGUGGCUAUUUUUGGUCCCCAGAUAAGAGCUGGGAACCAAGAGGAAUUUCAGGAAUCCUCCCUAAGGAAAUGAAAUAAUUUAAAAGACCAUGUUUAUAAGAGUUGUACUUGAAAGAAUCUAAAUGCUAGAAAACAGACAAACACUAAAUAAAUCUGGAUGAGACCGUUUCCAAACCUCUCAAAUGCUGUUACAGUGCUGUUAGCUUGACCUGCUGAAGAAAUGCCAGAAAAGUUUCUCCUCUAUGACUUUUCCCAGUUCCUUCCUUGCCUGACUGGUUUGCCGAGACAAGAAGUCUGUCCGGUACAGUGUAAGAGUUACACAACUGAUAAAUGGUCUCCAAAAGUCUCUCAGCAUUGCUGUGCUGCUUCUGCUGUUCUUUACCUGUGCUUCUCAGUGGUUAUUUAGGUGUGAACAAAUUUGUUUUGAUCUCAUUGACAGCCAGCCGUCGUAGAUCCUGAUCCAUGAUUCAGUAGCUGGGAUGUAGCUUAAUGUAUAUAAUUGCAGGUGUCAGGGGAGUAAUUGCAGCAAUAUGAUUAAAGGAGUGAAAGUUGGGCACUGUGGGUUAUCUGUGGGGAAAAAGCCUCAGAAUGUUUCAAAUUUUGAAAUCCACAUGCAGCUGGUUCACUCACAGAUUUUUGAUCUGAAGAGCAAACACAGUGGUAAUAAUGUUUACAUAUGACAGUUUCCCAUAAAGUGCUUAGUAAGCCCUGACAAAAUGUAUGAAAGAAGUUUCUAAUUACAGACGUUAUAGCUUUGGAUGCUCUUGAGUAAUUACUUCAUUUUACAGGGUUUUUUUUUAUUCCCUGAGAAAAUUCAACCUAGAAAGUGGAUAAAUCAUCACUGCAUUCACAUGCAGCCUCACCUUGUUCUGCUUCCUCAUCUUCUGGAUAACUUAUCCAUUAGGAGGUGAACGCCUUGACUCAGAGUGAUGCUGUUCACUUUUACUUUUCAAACACUGCUUAUUGCAGCCUCUGGAAAGAAGACAACUCAGGGAAGAGCACAAGGAGAGCCCAGCUUUAAGGACAGAAAUUGAACUCUGAUGCCAGCUGCUCUCAUGGCUGAGGCCUAUUUUCCAUUGAUUUUGAAGCUGAAGAGACAUCUCUUAUCGUGCAGGGACAGGCUGCGUUCAGGAUGGAAUAGGAGGUGGACUGUGUGUGAAGGAAUGCAGGGAUUUCUGAGUAAAUUUGGAGUCACAGAACAAUCAAUCAGCUCCAUUGAUCUGGAGCAUUUUUAAACCCGGCUUAAUGUAUGGGAUGCACUGACAAUUUUGUUUUAAGCUGAUACAGCUUGGAAACACUGACGAGGUCAAUGCAAUGCUUGCUGCCUUAUUUCAGGAUAGUACCUGCCUGAAUUCCUUUGCACAUAUUUAUUUCAAGUUCUACAUGUAGACCUAUGAAAAAUCAUUUAAUAUCAUGUCUUAUAAUGAAGGACUGCUGAAUUGCUCAGGAAUUUCACUUAAAAAAUUGAAAAUGAAGCAACAGUCACAUAACAUAACAAAAUUCACCUCACCAACAGUCACAUAACAAAAUUCAUUUUGGCCCACUGUGGAAGUUUGGGCUAGGAGAGAGUUAAUAUUCUUCAGACUUAUUGGUCUAGGGCUCAAUUUUUCACUGGUAAAAAAAUCAACUUAUUUCUUAGUCUUUACAAAUGGUGUUUUUCAUUUUAACUCUCUCUUGGGGUUAUCCUUGUAAAAUGCCGUUGUGUUUGCAUGUGCAUACUGCUUCAUAGGAUCAAAGUGAAGGAGCCUGUGUCUCAGGCCAACAUCCUUUUUUUUUUCAGCCCUAUCUGUUACAGUGUUGGUUUUUCCUGGAGAGAUCGGCUUCUGUAAAGGGCAAAAGCCAUUUGAGCUUACACAGAAGUUUAUGGCCUCUCUUCCAUCUCAAAGUCCUCCUCAUUAUCGAGGAGGGAGAAUGUUUUGCAGGUACUCAGAGAAUGGAAGGGCCUGUUAGGAGGCUGCCUCUGCUAAAGGCAGCAAGGGACUGUAUCUCAUUCCCAGUGACAUUGCUGUGGAGAUGCACAAGAGGAACACCAAAUUCCAAACUUGCAGCAGGUGCUGCAGGAACAAAGGAUAAACUCUGACAAUGGCAUGAGGAAAAAUGAGGGAAGAAGGCACUUGCUAGAAGGGCAUCAAAGAGUUUCCAGCAUGUAAAGUUUAUGUGCAGAUACGAAUUCUGUAAAGACUAAUUACGAGGUCCCUGAGCAAUAACUUGUGUAGUGUAGCACAUAAAAGUUAUGACAGUGCAUUUAUAGAGUUUAUUUUCACAGAUUUCACUUUAGCUUUGGUCUGCCAAACUGCACUAGGUAGUAAAAACCAGGGUUUUGUCAGCUGACAGGUUUGAUGGCCUUGCUCUUAAAUAUUUCCUUUUAAAUGUUUUUAGUAUUAAUUAAGUUGUUUGUUUAGACAUUUUUGUUCACUUAAAGAAAUGGCCAUCAUGCCAUUUUCAGAAUUUUUGAAGACAAUUAAAACAACUAACAUCUAAGAUCAUCUAUAACAGCAUUCUGUGCUCACAGAAAAGCACACACCAGGAUUUAUGUGUAAUUUGACAUGCCAUCUAUAAAAGCAAUCAACCCUAUGGAAACCUUACAAUGAUUCUGGUGCCAUAAAGCUGAAAUUUAUGGCCAUCUAACCUAAAGCUUGUUAAAGAAUAAGCACCACAGGCCUCUAUAAAGCCUCAUAACAUGCAGGCAUGGUCGUUCCAAACCAUUUUUCUAGCACCAAACCACCCUAUCUGUCAGCCAUAAACUACUCCCUAAAAUGGCCUCAUCUGAAUACACGUAGUCGUUCUAAUUUUAGUGUUCCUGAUUUCUUUUCAAAAGCAUGGAUUCUUCCCAAAAGUGUGAGUCAGCUCAAACCAACUCCUAGCAAAAAGUUUACAAGAUCCAAACUUUGUCAGAGUCCUCACUUUCAGUUUCUCAAGGGAAGGUGCAAAGUGAAGUAGGCUACAAACAAGUGUGAACUGUUGAUAGCAUGAAAGGACGUGUUGUCCUGCCUGCCAAACCCGUGUUCUGUUUCAGCAGUGGCUGAGACAAUAGCUGAUUUUUCUCUGCAGGUCUCACAUUGUCUGGGACUUGCUCCUAAAGUAAUGUCAGGAGAAGGUAGAUGAGGUUGACCCAAGUAUGUUAACAACUGCUGAUUCACUGCAAGCAAUGCCACUGGUUCUGAGCAAGGCUCCGGUUUGUCCUUUCAGUGCUUGGCACUGGAAAAUAGUGCUGUUGACAUAGGUGUCACCAAAUUCCUCAAGACAUUCAGGACUGGACUUAUAGUUCUUCUAGUGUUAAAACCUCUGGGGGAAAAAGUUAAGUCCAGCUUUUUCUGGGGAGGAGUACUUCCUAUGGUAGCUGAUGUAUUACAAGCCUUAUUUGAGAAGAGACAACCAUGUCCUUUUGGGAGUAAUCUAGAUCCUGUGAUGAGAGGAGUGUAAUUAUGUGCAUAUAAUAAAUACAUUAAGUAUUUAAUAUUUAAAUAUUUAAAUGUUUGAAGGACAACUGGAAAGAAGAGGAACAUAUUUUUUGUGUUUUGUUAUGUUUUCUUGACUGUACGUGUUAGUCUGAGAAUAUUCAAGGCUAUAUUCAGAGUUUCUAAUUCACAAGUGAGGUACACUUGAUAUCUAGAUAUCAUUGGUUACUAAAACCUUUUUGCAAGUAAGUAAAUAAUACUGAGAAAUUAAAAUAGGAGCCCUUGUCCUGUGUCCUGCACUCACCUAGCAGGCCUUUGUGUGACUAAUGAAGACACUGGAAAAGCAAGUUUAGUGUGUGUAUAUCCAUCUGUUAUCUCUGUACCCCUAUGUCUUCCUUUUUUUGAGUAAUGACCAAGACUAGGCUGAAACUGAGUGAGAAAUCCAUGUUCCAAAGAGGCAAUGCAAUAUUAUAAUUUAACAAUCAGAUUGUUAGAAUUGGAAGCAUUCAAUGGACAGACAUUAGGCAGAAACAGCCUGGACAGAGUCAGAGACGUUGUCUUUAACACAGGUAAGGAUUUGGGAACUUUGCUGUUAUAAUCUGAGUUUGAUGCAGACUUGAAGAAGUAAUCUCAAAGCCUAAACUCUUCCUCCAAUGGUAACAGCAACCAUGUACUUGUAGUAAUUUGUGCUGAAAAGGGAUUCAAGUAUGUGAGUUAAUUUCUGUACAGACCGUAAAGGUACAAAAUCAUGUACACCAGUGUCAUGAAAAGGAUAUUGGUACUCUGGAGAGCAUGAUUUGCCCUACUCGAAGAACCAUUAUGCUAUAGUAGACUCAUUCCACAAAGUAAUUGUUAGGGAGAUUUAAAUUUUUUUUCAAAUAUCUGUAUUCUUUAUUUGUGACCAUCAUAAAGUAAUUAAAACUCAAUUAAUAUGUAGAAGAAAAUAAAGCAAUGUAAGGCUGUUGUUCUGCAGUAAGUCAUAUAAAAUUUGUGAAUGUGGGAUUUCCUGGCAGUUGAAAUUUGAUCUGUAUUGGUGUGAGCACAGGACUGCAUUUUUACCAAAUGAGCCAGAACAUAUGUUACAUUGUUUAUUCAGGGUUUAUGCCAGCUUUCUGUCAGCUGAGCUGGAUAAAUUAUGCUUGAUCCAGCACAAAGUUAGAGUGGUCCAAACAGACAGUAUCUCAUCAGGUAGGACCUCUCCUGGGACAAAAUUAUUUCUUCAAGCUAUUUACAAUCACACAGAAUGAUAACCUACCACCCUAAUAUGCUAUAAACCUUGCAUAAACCUUAGAAAAAUUUGUUUCAAGUCAAAGCAUGUCUAUAACUGAUUAGCUGUAAAUAGACUGACAAUUUUUUCCUCAGAGGGAAACAAGAGGAAAGUCACAAAUACACAUUAUAUUUUACACCUUAGGCAAGUACAGAAAUAUUCCAGAAUAUGAUUUGUAUAGAAAUUUUGAGUGUACUCAUGUGUAAAUGUAAAUAAUGAGGUGGGGAAAAAAUGAGUCACUGUGAUAGUUAGAAACAUAAUUCUUGAAAUUAUUUCGUUAGGUUUGGGCUCAUGUUGUGAAAGAAAAAGGAUUUGAUUAUAUAUGUCCCACCGUGUUUCAUCUUUUAAAUAUGCAGCUUCCAUGUCCUAUUAUGAAUCCUUGGCAUUUCAUUCUGAAGCUGAAUUGUCAGGACAAUAGUUGUGGGAAGUAAAAAUAGCAAACCAGAACAUUAUAGAGUGAACCCAAUGAUUUUUGAGAUCUCCUAAGCUGGAGGGCUGAAUCCAUCGGUAAGUGUAUGCAGGUUUUACCAAUUUGGAUAUAAAAUUGGCUGGGGUCCUGUAAGACUUUUGUUGGGAUUUUGUUAAUUUUCAUUUAAAUUUCAUUAGAACUUAUUAACUUAUUUUUGUCACUGCACCAUUGUCAGUCUUUGGCCAGGAGUUGUGACUGACUGCAGUGCAACAUUCAAUGACAGCUUAGCAUUGUUCAGACCACCCUGGCUACCUUUUUCUGUGCUGCAGCCUUUACUGGGCUGGAACAGCAGUUUUCUG